This is a long non-coding RNA of Phascolarctos cinereus (koala), 2057 nucleotides long. NCBI's taxonomy places the organism in Eukaryota, Metazoa, Chordata, Mammalia, Diprotodontia, Phascolarctidae. The record is from Ensembl.
UAGCUAUCAAGGGGUCUGGGAGAGAGCGAUGAUGACCCCAGGUUCUGAUUCCCCAGACCCUCCCCUCACUUCUGACCCUUUCCUUUCCUCUCUGCAGGGGGAUAUCCAGGAGCUUAUGAUCCUGCAAGAUGCUCAGGCUGCCUUCAGGGCCUGUGAAAACUUGCUGCCCAGCUGCGACACCCCCACUACCCCAGCCACCCCAACUGCAGGGGUGAGCACACCUUUGUAUUUGCCACAAGAUAAAUGACUGGGACAGCUAGAUGGCACUGUGGAUAGAGUACUAUGUUUGGAAUCAGGAAGACCUGAUUUUGAAUCCUACCUCAGAUACUAGCUACCGAAUGUUAAGCUAACUAAGGCCAGAUGACUUCAUCUUUCUUGGCUUGAGUUUCCUCACUUGUAAAAUGAAGGGAUUUGACUUGACCUGUAAAGUCCCUUCCAGCUUUAGAGCUAUGAUCUUUAUGACUUUAUAUGCCCUGGCAUGGGAUAAAUAAGUCUCCUAGCAUGGAGUGGGUGAUCCCUGACUUGUUGGCGUGGAAUGGAUGACCCCUGCCCUGGGGCAAGUGGUUUUCAAUUGCUCACUUUGAGGCAGGCUGACCCAAGAAUUAGCUCACUGUCCAGGAUCCUAUGUGACCAGAAUGCCUGGGUUCCCAACCUAGAGAAGGGCUGCUUACCGGGAAGCAUCUUCUGGGCCCUGAGCAGAAUGCCUUCUACCCAGGUGGAGCCAGAAACCCCUCCUCCCCAAAGGAAGAGGAAGGGGAAAGGGAAGGGAAAGGGCCGCAAGGGCCGCAAGGGCAAGGGCAAGAAAAAGAAAAACAAGGACUCUGAGAAACCAGAAGUGCUCCCAACUUCACCAGAAGGCCAGAUCACCACUCACAUUCCUGAGGUAGAGACUUUAACUCUUCCCUCUGAGACAGAGACUGUGGCUCCAACUGCCCCUCUGAAUGUCACAGUUGUCACAUCCACAGUGGCCAUCAGUCUCAAUGGCACCACCUAUAAAGUAAGGCCAGGGUCUGGGGAGGGGAAUGGGGGGCUGACAGGACCGGGGAGGCAGGUGUGAAGGAGGGAGGAAGAGAGGGAUGGAAGGUGAUUACUUGGGCUCAGAAGGAGGAAUGAUGUGUUUAUUUCUCCUAACCCUUGUGACUUCUUCCCAGGACCCUGGAAAUGAGCCAGUGUCCUCUGAAGCUACACACAAGCUCCCUGAGCCACGGGAGGGCAGGGGUGAGGAAUGGGGAAACUCUACUAUGAACCCCAUCUAUGGGCCAGCUGAGCGGGGGUCAGAGACCCAGAUCUACAUAUUUCCUGUGAGUUUGGGGGAGGUCUCUGGGGAAUAAGGGACUUGAGGAAGAUACGGGUCUCUAGGAAAAUAGGUUCUGAGGGAUAGGAGACUCUGGUAGGGAUGAACGGUGCUGAGAGAUGACCUCUGAGUAGCAUGAGAAGUCUGAGAAGAUGAGGAUAUCUCUGAAGGAUGAGGUACCCCCUGGGGAAUAGGAAACUAUGGAAGAAUUUGGAAUUUGGGGGAAAUGGAGGGCUCUAGGGGUACCAGGGUCUCUGGGAAGUUUAAAGACUCUGGGACACAGGAGAAUUAGAAGCAACGGGAGAAUGGAAAACUUUAGGGGGCUGAAAAAUUCUGGGUGAUGGGUCUUUGGGGGAGACCUAGUGGUCUGGUGGGUAGGGAACUCUGGAGGAACUCUCGUUUCCCAAGUUGCUCUGGAAAGGUUGAGGGCCUGGGAUACAUGACCCCUAACUAAGGGGCAGUAUGGUGGUACCAUAGGAUUGAUACUUUAUCUAAUGGGGGAGAGGGGCUGGUUGGGGUUUGAAGGAUUCUGAGUCUCUGUAAUGCCCUCUUCCCCUCCUCUUCCCCUGCAUCCUAGAAUGCUGGUGAAAAAGGUCAGAAAGGGGAGCCAGCAGUUAUUGAACUGGUGAGUGGGGGACAGUAAUCAUGAGGUGCAGGGCAGUGUUGAACACCUCCUUCCUUGCAGGGAUGUGGGGGAGGGGGUACUGUGACUGAGUGUGGGCUCAUAUUUGUUUUUCUCUCGAAGGGCCAGCAGUUUGAGGGA